RNAcentral lists this ribosomal RNA (116 nucleotides) under Pteropus alecto (black flying fox). Lineage: Eukaryota; Metazoa; Chordata; Mammalia; Chiroptera; Pteropodidae. The record is from RNAcentral. RNAcentral also lists the same sequence under 1 other name.
GUCUACAGCCAUGCCACCCUGAACAAGCCCAAUGUCUGAUCUCGGAAGCUAAGCAGGGUCGGGCCUGGUUAGUAUUUGGAUGGGAGACCACCUAGGAAGACCAGGUGCUGUAGAAA